AUUGAACGCUGGCGGCAUGCUUUACACAUGCAAGUCGAACGGCAGCGCGGGCUUCGGCCUGGCGGCGAGUGGCGAACGGGUGAGUAAUGCAUCGGAACGUGCCCAGUCGUUGGGGAUAGCCCGGCGAAAGCCGGAUUAAUACCGCAUACGACCUGAGGGUGAAAGCGGGGGACCGAAAGGCCUCGCGCUAUUGGAGCGGCCGAUGUCGGAUUAGCUAGUUGGUGGGGUAAAGGCUUACCAAGGCGACUAUCCGUAGCUGGUCUGAGAGGACGACCAGCCACACUGGGACUGAGACACGGCCCAGACUCCGACGGGAGGAAGCAGUGGGGAAUUUUGGACAAUGGGGGCAACCCUGAUCCAGCCAUGCCGCGUGCGGGAAGAAGGCCUUCGGGUUGUAAACCGCUUUUGUUCGGGAAGAAAUCCUCUGGGCUAAUACCCCGGGGGGAUGACGGUACCGGAAGAAUAAGCACCGGCUAACUACGUG
RNAcentral lists this ribosomal RNA (484 nucleotides) under uncultured bacterium. Its description in RNAcentral is "partial 16S ribosomal RNA". It matches the Rfam family "Bacterial small subunit ribosomal RNA", at positions 28 to 507 of the family's 1533-position model. The record is from RNAcentral.